Molecule: long non-coding RNA, 202 nt
Filed under: Homo sapiens (human)
Lineage: Eukaryota; Metazoa; Chordata; Mammalia; Primates; Hominidae
Description: HSALNT0364223
Rfam family: Eukaryotic large subunit ribosomal RNA
Source: RNAcentral
CGGGUUGCUUGGGAAUGCAGCCCAAAGCGGGUGGUAAACUCCAUUUAAGGCUAAAUACCGGCACGAGACCGAUAGUCAACAAGUACCGUAAGGGAAAGUUGAAAAGAACUUUGAAGAGAGAGUACAAGAGGGCGUGAAACCGUUAAGAGGUAAAUGGGUCAGGUCCGCGCAGUCCGCCCGGAGGAUUCAACCCGGUGGCGGA